Molecule: ribosomal RNA, 747 nt
Filed under: uncultured Thermaceae bacterium
Lineage: Bacteria; Thermotogati; Deinococcota; Deinococci; Thermales; Thermaceae
Description: bacterial SSU rRNA
Rfam family: Bacterial small subunit ribosomal RNA
Source: RNAcentral
CGGUCUUUCAAGUCCGAUGCUAAAGACUGGGGCUCAACCCCAGGGGUGCGUUGGAUACUGUGAGGCUAGACGGUCGGAGGGGGUAGCGGAAUUUCCGGAGUAGCGGUGAAAUGCGCAGAUACCGGAAGGAACGCCAAUAGCGAAGGCAGCUACCUGGACGACUUGUGACGCUGAGGCGCGAAAGCGUGGGGAGCAAACCGGAUUAGAUACCCGGGUAGUCCACGCCCUAAACCAUGAGUGCUGGGUGUCCGGCUUCUGCUGGGUGCCGUAGCUAACGCGCUAAGCACUCCGCCUGGGAAGUACGCACGCAAGUGUGAAACUCAAAGGAAUUGACGGGGGCCCGCACAAGCGGUGGAGCAUGUGGUUUAAUUCGAAGCGACGCGAAGAACCUUACCAGGCCUUGACAUGCCCGGAACCCCUCUGAAAGGAGGGGGUGCCCGCAAGGGAGCCGGGACACAGGUGCUGCAUGGCCGUCGUCAGCUCGUGUCGUGAGAUGUUGGGUUAAGUCCCGCAACGAGCGCAACCCCUAUCCCUAGUUGCCAGCAGUUCGGCUGGGCACUCUAUGGAGACUGCCUGCGAAAGCAGGAGGAAGGCGGGGAUGACGUCUGGUCCGCAUGGCCCUUACGGCCUGGGCGACACACGUGCUACAAUGCCAAGGACAGAGCGCUGCUACCUCGCGAGAGGACGCCAAUCGCAAAAACCUUGGCUCAGUUCGGAUUGGAGUCUGCAACUCGACUCCAUGAAGCC